GAUGAAGAACGCAGCGAAAUGCGACAAGUAAUGUGAAUUGCAGAAUUCAGUGAAUCAUCGAAUCUUUGAACGCACAUUGCGCCCCCUGGUAUUCCGGGGGGCAUGCCUGUUCGAGCGUCAUUUCACCACUCAAGCCUCGCUUGGUAUUGGGCAACGCGGUCCGCCGCGUGCCUCAAAUCGACCGGCUGGGUCUUCUGUCCCCUAAGCGUUGUGGAAACUAUUCGCUAAAGGGUGUUCGGGAGGCUACGCCGUAAAACAACCCCAUUUCUAAGGUUGACCUCGGAUCAGGUAGGGAUACCCGCUGAACUUAAGCAUAUCAAUAAGCGGAGGA
Molecule: unclassified non-coding RNA, 331 nt
Filed under: soil metagenome
Description: partial contains 5.8S ribosomal RNA, internal transcribed spacer 2, and large subunit ribosomal RNA
Rfam family: 5.8S ribosomal RNA (bases 1-120)
Source: RNAcentral